RNAcentral lists this ribosomal RNA (415 nucleotides) under Acanthamoeba sp. RNAcentral's name for it is "SSU rRNA". The stretch from base 1 to 372 matches the Rfam family "Eukaryotic small subunit ribosomal RNA", at positions 762 to 1116 of the family's 1831-position model. RNAcentral also lists the same sequence under 5 other names. Lineage: Eukaryota; Discosea; Longamoebia; Acanthamoebidae. The record is from RNAcentral.
AAAAUUAGAGUGUUCAAAGCAGGCAGAUCCAAUUUUCUGCCACCGAAUACAUUAGCAUGGGAUAAUGGAAUAGGACCCUGUCCUCCUAUUUUCAGUUGGUUUUGGCAGCGCGAGGACUAGGGUAAUGAUUAAUAGGGAUAGUUGGGGGCAUUAAUAUUUAAUUGUCAGAGGUGAAAUUCUUGGAUUUAUGAAAGAUUAACUUCUGCGAAAGCAUCUGCCAAGGAUGUUUUCAUUAAUCAAGAACGAAAGUUAGGGGAUCGAAGACGAUCAGAUACCGUCGUAGUCUUAACCAUAAACGAUGCCGACCAGCGAUUAGGAGACGUUGAAUACAAAACACCACCAUCGGUGCGGUCAUCCUUGGCGUUGGUCUUCAAAAGCCAGCGCGGGGGUGGCUUAGCCCGGUGGCACCGGUGAA